GGGGCGGGGGCACGGGGGGAACGCGAAGAACCUUACCUACUCUUGACAUCCAGAGAACUUUCCAGAGAUGGAUUGGUGCCUUCGGGAACUCUGAGACAGGUGCUGCAUGGCUGUCGUCAGCUCGUGUUGUGAAAUGUUGGGUUAAGUCCCGCAACGAGCGCAACCCUUAUCCUUUGUUGCCAGCGCGUGAUGGCGGGAACUCAAAGGAGACUGCCGGUGAUAAACCGGAGGAAGGUGGGGAUGACGUCAAGUCAUCAUGGCCCUUACGAGUAGGGCUACACACGUGCUACAAUGGCGUAUACAAAGGGAAGCGACCCUGCGAAGGCAAGCGGAACUCAUAAAGUACGUCGUAGUCCGGAUUGGAGUCUGCAACUCGACUCCAUGAAGUCGGAAUCGCUAGUAAUCGUAGAUCAGAAUGCUACGGUGAAUACGUUCCCGGGCCUUGUACACACCG
Molecule: ribosomal RNA, 454 nt
Filed under: uncultured bacterium
Lineage: Bacteria
Description: bacterial SSU rRNA
Rfam family: Bacterial small subunit ribosomal RNA
Source: RNAcentral